AGUGCGGUUGGGCAGUUGCAGCUCGUCGGGCUCAUAACGAAGGUCAUCAGUUCGAGUCUGGUCCCGCUACCU
This 72-nucleotide transfer RNA is filed under the name Pedobacter sp. IW39. RNAcentral describes it as "tRNA-Sec". The record is from RNAcentral. Lineage: Bacteria; Pseudomonadati; Bacteroidota; Sphingobacteriia; Sphingobacteriales; Sphingobacteriaceae.